RNAcentral lists this ribosomal RNA (492 nucleotides) under uncultured Lachnospiraceae bacterium. RNAcentral describes it as "partial 16S ribosomal RNA". Lineage: Bacteria; Bacillati; Bacillota; Clostridia; Lachnospirales; Lachnospiraceae. The record is from RNAcentral.
CACGUAUUUAGCCGGAGCUUCUUUUCAGGUACCGUCACUUUCUUCCCUGCUGAUAGAGCUUUACAUAACGAAUUACUUCUUCACUCACGCGGCGUCGCUGCAUCAGAGUUCCCUCCAUUGUGCAAUAUUCCCCACUGCUGCCUCCCGUAGGAGUCUGGGCCGUGUCUCAGUCCCAAUGUGGCCGUCCACCCUCUCAGGCCGGCUACUGAUCGUUGCCUUGGUGUGCUUUUACCACUCCAACUAGCUAAUCAGACGCGGGUCCAUCUCAUACCAGAUUUCUCCUUUUCACACAAAAACAUGCGUCCUCGUGCGCUUAUGCGGUUUUACCACCAGUUUCCCGAUGCUAUCCCCCUGUAUGAGGCAGGUUGCCCACGCGUUACUCACCCGUCCGCCACUAAGAUACUUCUCUUUCACCUCGAAAAGCUUCCAAGCAAUAUCUCCGUUCGACUUGCAUGUGUUAGGCACGCCGCCAGCGUUCAUCCUGAGCCAGGA